CAGAAGUGAAUUCUUUUCAAUUUGCAAUCUUCAGGCUUGUAAAUUGAAAAAUUCACAUCUGCCCUUUCUAGCUUAAGAAAGAUUGACAGCAAAAGGUCACAUUUUCAAAAUGAAUAUGUUAUGAAUUACCCCUUAUGUUGUAUCAUUAUUUUCAGAUUUUAUAUUGGCCCGCUGCAAUAGUUUUUGAGCACCCAGUAAUCUUUAACAUAGUUAUACUUGCAACACCUAUAUGACAGAGGGAAGUCCUAUUAUCUUUCUGUUUGUAACCAGAAAACCCAAUUGCAACAAGUCUUGUUGACUUGUCUGUGGUUGCAUGAGAAGUCUGUGAUAAAAUCAGUUGUCAUGUUACUAUACAAGUUGCUCGACCCCUGGUUAUGUUGUAGUGUCUUCUGCAAGGUGGGACUCCAUCUCUGUUUCUAAGGAUGAGGAUGCAGGUUUUAUCUCACUCUGUGUGCUUUCUGAUUUAUUGCUGUAAAAUUUCUGACAUAUUACCAUACAUUUGAAUGUUUUACAAGGUUUCUGACUUGAGGCACUGACGAACCAAGGAAACAGUCGACAAAGAUCAGCAGUCAGCUGGUGCAUGACAACAAACAAGAGCAGGAAUUCCAGAGAGCAGCAGGCUUGCCUCUAUUUAAGUGGAGUAAUGAGAGGACAGCAGAAGAGCCAGGAACAGGUAGUAAUGGUUGGUGUGUGCCCAGUUAGAUAAUGUUUUAUCUCAGAGAGGGCUGGAAUGCCACGAGACAUCGAGUGAGGACAUACACAAUACAGAUCACUGGCAGGUUGUAGAGGUAUUUGCUGUGAUAUCAAAGAUAGAUGAUAUCUUCUGCACUGGUGGUUGCAUUUUGAGAAUUUCUUUCAAAAACUGUUUAUAGGUACAUAUCCUAAGGAGAGUAUCUCUUUUGGAUCCAGAGUGUGUAAAGUAACUUAAACAUAUAAUACUGUGUAGUGCUAGCGCUUCCCUAAGAUGCUGAACUCUAAGUGUGAGUUUUAAUCCUGACAGUCUGAAAUAGAGUCUAAAUGGUUAAAACCGGAGUACCUGACUUGUAUUGACUGUGUCCUGCAUUAGAUCUCAUUUGACAGUCUCCAGCUGUGGGAACUAGGACUGCUGCUGUGAUCUCCCUGUUAAACAGGUCAUUUUGAGCCAUUCAUUAUAGCUCACCACUUCCUGCAAGUAUAAGGAGUUUUUCAGGUAUCAAGCAAUGUAUAUUCUGUAGAGCUACUGCAAUCCUUCAUUUGAGAGGGGCUUGUCACAUCAGCCUGGCCGUGAAAGGCCUCUCCUUAAAUGUUUUAUUUUAAAAUAAAGUGUAGCUCAAGGCCUGGUAUGAUAACUUC
RNAcentral lists this long non-coding RNA (1332 nucleotides) under Anser brachyrhynchus (Pink-footed goose). Its description in RNAcentral is "lncRNA (ENSABRG00000006478.1)". The record is from RNAcentral. Lineage: Eukaryota; Metazoa; Chordata; Aves; Anseriformes; Anatidae.